This 562-nucleotide long non-coding RNA is filed under the name Selaginella moellendorffii. RNAcentral's name for it is "long non-coding RNA (SMOE_LNC000826)". Lineage: Eukaryota; Viridiplantae; Streptophyta; Lycopodiopsida; Selaginellales; Selaginellaceae. The record is from RNAcentral.
GUUCGUGUUCGACAAGAGCGCCAGAUUAAGGCAGACGUUCUCUGCAGCCUUCGACCAUGACCACCCUGAACAGAACGUUAGCAGAGAUCGACUUUCCAAAAAUCCAGUAAAGAAAGAUUUAUACCAGGGAUUCGGUGCCCGAAGAACUUGGUCCGUGGGAAGCGUCCCGGUCCUGCCGUAUGUAAAGUUCCUCCCCACCAGGAUCAUCAGCCUUUUCAUGUACUUCCUCCAGCUUGCUUCUGCAACAGUCACCGUAUGUUUCUCAGUAUAUCGACUUGCCGAGCACGGCUCCAAUUCCCAAGGACAAAACACUGAGCAAGCACUUACGGUGUUUUACGCGAUGAUGCUGGCAGAAGCGUCGCUAUUCCUCCUGGAGAGAGCGUAUUGGGAAUUCAAGCUUCGUUACCAGAGGUUGCUGGAAGUAGUCACUCGAAAGUGUGAGCUUGAUCAAGACGACAUUGAAACCAUGAAGCAGUACUGGUACACAUUGUACUCACGAUCGCUGAACGGAAGCGUGUUUGAUGGCCUGGGAAUGGACCUUAUCGAUUUCACCGUCGAGAAG